UUACCCAAUCCUGACACAGGGAGGUAGUGACAAGAAAUAACAAAGCAAGUCUCUCAGAGGCGCUGCGUUGGAAUGAGUAGAAUUUAAAUCUCUUUACGACCAUCAAUUGGAGGGCAAGUCUGGUGCCAGCAGCCGCGGUAAUUCCAGCUCCAAUAGCGUAUAUUAAAGUUGUUGCGGUUAAAAAGCUCGUAGUUGGAUUUCUGUCUAGGGUGGCCGGUACCCACUAUGUGAAGUAUCUGGUUCAGUCUGGGCAUCCUCUUGGGGAUCGUUCCUGUGCUUGAUUGCAUGGGGCGGAAUUCAAGACUUUUACUUUGAGGAAAUUAGAGUGUUCACGGCAAGCUUUCGCUUCGAAUACAUUAGUAUGGAAUAAUGAUAUAGGGCAUAAGUUCUAUUUUGUUGGUUUCUAGAACAUAUGCAAUGAUUAAUAGGGAUAAUUGGGGGCACUCGUAUUAACGCGUCAGAGGUGGAAUUCUUAGAUUGCGUUACGACGAACUACUGCGAAAGCAUUUGCCAAGGAUGUUUUCAUUGAUCAAGAACGAAAGUAUGGGGAUCGAAGACGAUUAGAUACCGUCGUAGUCUAUACCAUAAACUAUGCCAACUAGAGAUUGGAG
This 611-nucleotide ribosomal RNA is filed under the name uncultured marine Syndiniales. RNAcentral's name for it is "SSU rRNA". It matches the Rfam family "Eukaryotic small subunit ribosomal RNA", at positions 441 to 1058 of the family's 1831-position model. Lineage: Eukaryota; Dinophyceae; Syndiniales. The record is from RNAcentral.